AUACGUAGGGGGCGAGCGUUGUCCGGAAUGAUUGGGCGUAAAGGGCGCGUAGGCGGGGUUUUAAGUAGGGUGUGAAAACUAACGGCUCAACCGAUAGACUGCAUCCUAAACUGGGACUCUUGAGGGCAGGAGAGGAAAGUGGAAUUCCUAGUGUAGCGGUGAAAUGCGUAGAUAUUAGGAGGAACACCAGUGGCGAAGGCGACUUUCUGGACUGUACCUGACGCUGAGGCGCGAAAGCGUGGGGAGCAAACAGGAUUAGAUACCCUGGUAGUCCACACUGUAAACGAUGAAUGCUAGGUGUAGGGGGUAUCGACCCCUUCUGUGCCGCAGUCAACACAAUAAGCAUUCCGCCUGGGGAGUACGGCCGCAAGGUUGAAACUCAAAUGAAUUGACGGGG
Molecule: ribosomal RNA, 397 nt
Filed under: uncultured bacterium
Lineage: Bacteria
Description: partial 16S ribosomal RNA
Rfam family: Bacterial small subunit ribosomal RNA
Source: RNAcentral